AAGUCGUAACAAGGUUUCCGUAGGUGAACCUGCGGAAGGAUCAUUAUCGAUUUUGCCGUUGGGGACUGUGCUGGCCCUCGGGCAUGUGCACGUCCCCUUCAUUUCCACACACCACGUGCACCUCUAGGCGGCUCUCCCGACGGAAGCCGCCUGUUUUUUCACAUGCGCUUUUUUCGUGUAUAUGGGAUGUCUUGUCUAAAUAGUAACAACUUUCAACAACGGAUCUCUUGGCUCUC
Molecule: unclassified non-coding RNA, 236 nt
Filed under: fungal sp.
Lineage: Eukaryota; Fungi
Description: partial internal transcribed spacer region
Rfam family: Eukaryotic small subunit ribosomal RNA (bases 1-46)
Source: RNAcentral